Molecule: long non-coding RNA, 375 nt
Filed under: Salvia miltiorrhiza (redroot sage)
Lineage: Eukaryota; Viridiplantae; Streptophyta; Magnoliopsida; Lamiales; Lamiaceae
Description: long non-coding RNA (SMIL_LNC010808)
Source: RNAcentral
GUAACUUGACUUGAGAUUAGAAACUAGUUUUAACUCAUCGAAAUUUAAAAACUAGUUUUAACUCAGCAAUAUAAUGGAAUCUACCUCACGCAAUAUGUAUCGAUGCAAGUUUCUUUUCUUUCUUUCUUUUUUUUUUUUUUUCUUUUUUUAGUUUCUUAAGUGGCGGCUGAUUAGUUUUUUUACAUGUAAAUAGAUGUUUGUUUUCAUUUUACAUUUUUUUUCGGAACAUUAAUUUAUCUCUUGGCAGUAUUAUCGACUUGAUAACGCAGAAUUAGGUAGUGUCAAGCAUCUUCGUUACACGACAGGUAGAUUUGAAAUAAUUUGAGAUGACGAUCAGGUCAACUUUAUCUGCAGGUUGUCAGAUUAUUUGUAUUA